AAAUCCACAAAUGAGAGGGGGCGUGAUGGGUGGAGCCUAUAAAUAUAUAGUGUACUGAAUUGCAACUGAGCUGUUCAGCGCUGUGCUUUCAGAAACUUGGGAUUUCGCUUGUCUUUUUUUUAAAAUGCCAGCAGUUGCAGCGAAUCAGUCCGAUGUGCAUGAACCAUCUCCUCUGCAAAUCAAAGGUCACAACAUGAAAUCCAAAAGGGUUGCCAAAUCAAAGCAGGACGGUUGGAACAGGUUUCGCGAGCUGCUUCUGGCAGUCAGCGUCUCGGCUUUUUUAGACCGAUGUCUGGAGGAGAAAUACGGGAUUCCAAAACCGCGGCGGUGAUCAGCGCGGAGAAAAUCGCGGCACUUGUACAGAUGAGGAACUAUACGCUGCACACAAGAGCCCGAGAACGAAAAGGUUCAGCGGUAAACGAGGAGAAAGAGAGAGAGAGAGUGAGAUUCUCGAACACCCGCGUAAAGGUCAGUUGGGAAAUGGUUGGAAGAGGAAGGUCAGGGAACAGGAAAGAGUGAGGCCCUCACUGCCUAUUAGAGAGACUGAGGGAGCAGAGGACAGUAAUCACAGCAUCUCGGGCUCUGUGUGUUGGGUACCCUUCCAGCAUUGAAGAGUGAAGCGCCAUUUCUGACACCAUUUCUGCAUUUACUUGCUUUCUCUCCAGAUGCAUGCCUCUUUGUUUGCUGGUAUGUUAAAAACAAACUCAAGGCAAAUAUAUUAUCAACGUACAUGUGUUACCUUGAGAUUCAUUUUCUUGCAAUCACAACAAAAAAAAAAUCCAGUCUUGAGGCCAUUCAAACUGCCUUCAUUUGUUAUAUACAGAAAGUACAGCAAAAGAUUUGACAGAUGACAUUUGUCACCCGAUCCUCUGCAUUUCCACGUAUUGAAUUAUUACUGGACUAAUCGUUUCCUUCUCAUAACUUUGUUCUACCUCAAUGUAUUGUAUAACGAAUGAUUCUGUACAGUAUAAUAAAACAAUAUGCUAGACAAGAAUUGUAAUGUAUCUGUGUCAAUAAUAAACAAUUUAU
Hypanus sabinus (Atlantic stingray) is the source of this 1029-nucleotide long non-coding RNA. RefSeq lists it as uncharacterized. NCBI's taxonomy places the organism in Eukaryota, Metazoa, Chordata, Chondrichthyes, Myliobatiformes, Dasyatidae. The record is from RefSeq and is a predicted model, not a curated record. The transcript has 4 exons.